Molecule: long non-coding RNA, 927 nt
Filed under: Vitis vinifera (wine grape)
Lineage: Eukaryota; Viridiplantae; Streptophyta; Magnoliopsida; Vitales; Vitaceae
Description: long non-coding RNA (VVIN_LNC007852)
Source: RNAcentral
UAGUUGACAACAGUAAAAAGAUGGGCGCUAAUUCCAAUACAAUAGGGGUCUAUCAGUGCAAGUCAGCUGAACACCGUGAUUGAUGAGUGGGUAGGUGGGUUAGGUGCACCUCUCGCCCAGUGGGAAGUAAUGAGGCUAGUCUCCCACCCCCCCUGAAUGAAGAAGUAGUGGGGCCCCCUUCCCGCGUAUGCGCCUUUAUUUAGAUUAGAUUCUUUCUAUUUUUUAACAAAAUGGAGAAUCUUUCUAAAAAAAUAUCUCUGGCAAAACGCAAUUCGUCGAUUUUAAUCCAAGGUGCACCUUGCCUUUUUUCAGGUAGCUUUGUUACGCCUAUUCAGCUAGUGGGGCAUUGGUCAUAGCCGAAAUUCGUCGAAGGGAUCAGAUCAAAAAGAAAGAAGAGAAAGAAAGGGGAGUUUUGUCUUUCUUUCAAUCCAAAUAAGAGAACAAAGAAACCACUCUAAAAUGAAAGUUAGAUAAAGAAGUUUCAGUAAGAACUAGCACUAGACUUCUUCCCCCCUUUCUACUUUUCCUCUCUCCUUUUUUUUGUGCUUCCACCCGGGCUUUUCAUUCUGUUUUAUAGAGACCCGAGGAAAUUUUGAUAAUAAUUAAUGUAGAAAGGUGAGGCACUUUCCCGGGCAUACGGAAAAGAAAAUCCAAUCCAGGAUGACGGCUUUCAAAAGACGAGUAAGGGACGGGGAGGGGGAGGCUCUCGAAAGCAAACGAGACUAGAAGGAACAUGGGAAUUAGCACCAUUCCUAUGAGUGCUCUUGUCUCGAAGAGCCAACAAAGGGGCAGCCCUCUCUCUAUCUCGGUCUCGGUUUAGCAUCAUAUAUAAAUCUGGAGAAAAUUUUUAUUGGUUGUAGUGCGGAUUAAAGAGCUGCUCCUCCAUGCUGUGGCUGUGGAGGUGGGGGCUGCCGCCGCCUGAUAGAG